Molecule: non-coding RNA, 26 nt
Filed under: Mus musculus (house mouse)
Lineage: Eukaryota; Metazoa; Chordata; Mammalia; Rodentia; Muridae
Source: RNAcentral
UGGGUUGACUCACUGUGAAAGACAGA